Molecule: long non-coding RNA, 288 nt
Filed under: Homo sapiens (human)
Lineage: Eukaryota; Metazoa; Chordata; Mammalia; Primates; Hominidae
Description: LHRI_LNC1703.1
Source: RNAcentral
AAAUUUUUAAAAUGUGUCAAAGAGAGAAAAUCCAAUGAGAAUCCUAUAAGAGUUUGCAACUUCAGGACAGGUAGAAACACUAGCCUCCACCCGGUAAUGCACCUGUUAUUUUCUGUGAAUUGCUAUCACUUUCAAGACACACAGAAGUACUUGGUCUCCCAAAGUAAAUAAACUUUAGAAAUGCCAGCAUCUCUUGAUAAAUGUUAAUUGACCCCUUUUUAACGUGUAUUAUUCUAAUGUCUGCAGCAAACUUUACUUAAAGCCUUUGAUCGUCUACCAAAUAUUCCC